RNAcentral lists this unclassified non-coding RNA (162 nucleotides) under uncultured Hypocreales. RNAcentral's name for it is "sequence contains ITS2". Lineage: Eukaryota; Fungi; Ascomycota; Sordariomycetes; Hypocreales. The record is from RNAcentral.
CAACACUCAAGCCCCCGGGCUUGGUGUUGGAGAUCAGCGAGCCCUCCGGGGCGCGCCGCCUCUCAAAUUUAGUGGCGGUCUCGCUGUAGCUUCCUCUGCGUAGUAGCACACCUCGCACUGGGAAACAGCGUGGCCACGCCGUAAAACCCCCCACUUCUGAAA